This 969-nucleotide long non-coding RNA is filed under the name Coturnix japonica (Japanese quail). RNAcentral's name for it is "lncRNA (ENSCJPG00005001568.1)". Lineage: Eukaryota; Metazoa; Chordata; Aves; Galliformes; Phasianidae. The record is from RNAcentral.
AUGGGGCAGCUAGGGGCUAGCUAUGGGGCAGCUAUGGGGCAGCUAAGGGGUGCUAUGGGGCAGCUAUGGGGGCUGCUAUGGGGCAGCUUAUGGGCAGCUAUGAGGGCUGCUGUGGGGCAGCUAGGGGCAGCUAUGGGGCUUGCUAUGGGGCAGCUCUGGGGGCAGCUAUGGGGCUGCUAUGGGGCAGCUAUGGGGGCAGCUAUGGGGCUGCUAUGGGGCUGCUAUGGGCAGCUAUGGGGCUGCUAUGGGGCUGCUAUGCGGGCAGCUAUUGGGGCUGCUAUGGGGCAGCUAUGGGGCUGCUAUUGGGGCAGCUAUGGGGCUGCUAUGGGGCAGCUCUAUGGGGCUGCUAUGGGGCUGCUAUGGGGCAGCUAUGGGUCUGAUGUGUGUCUCUCUGUCUCUCCCCAUAGCUGGAGGUCCUUUAGCUGUUCUAUGGGGCGGGCUGGGCCCCGAGGCGGGCGCUGCCGUGGGGCUGUGCUCGUUCCUUGGGGCCGCAUUCGCUGCCGCAGCCGCAGCUUUGGGGGCGGCCGAGCUGCUGACGGUGUACGUUCUCCCCCCGUCGGCCAUGUUGCCGCUGUCCCGGCUGAACAGCGGCCGCAGUUACGGCUCCGCCAUGUUGGUUCUAUUGGGGCUGGGGGCGGCCGCCCCACACGGGCCCCACGUGGCCUCAUUGGGCCCCAUUGGGGUGGGGCUGACGCUGCUGGCGCUGCAGGGCGGGGCCAUCAGAGCCGCCAUGACGGGAACCAGGAACGGGCUGUGUCUGCCCCCCCCCAGCUCCCCCCUGGCCCCACUGCAGCCCUGCCCGCCCCAUAGCGACAACAGCAGCAGCUCCACUGCCCCACAACUGGCUGUUCCAGGGCCCAGCACCGACCUGCUGGCACGUGAGUGCUAUGGGGGGGCACCUCUGCCCCAUAACUGCCCCAUAACUGCCCCAUAACCGCCCUAUAACCACCCCAUAACUGCCCCAUAACC